RNAcentral lists this ribosomal RNA (735 nucleotides) under Shewanella baltica. Its description in RNAcentral is "bacterial SSU rRNA". It matches the Rfam family "Bacterial small subunit ribosomal RNA", at positions 53 to 776 of the family's 1533-position model. Lineage: Bacteria; Pseudomonadati; Pseudomonadota; Gammaproteobacteria; Alteromonadales; Shewanellaceae. The record is from RNAcentral.
ACAUGCAGUCGAGCGGCAGCGGGAAGAUAGCUUGCUAUCUUUGCCGGCGAGCGGCGGACGGGUGAGUAAUGCCUAGGGAUCUGCCCAGUCGAGGGGGAUAACAGUUGGAAACGACUGCUAAUACCGCAUACGCCCUACGGGGGAAAGGAGGGGACCUUCGGGCCUUCCGCGAUUGGAUGAACCUAGGUGGGAUUAGCUAGUUGGUGAGGUAAUGGCUCACCAAGGCGACGAUCCCUAGCUGUUCUGAGAGGAUGAUCAGCCACACUGGGACUGAGACACGGCCCAGACUCCUACGGGAGGCAGCAGUGGGGAAUAUUGCACAAUGGGGGAAACCCUGAUGCAGCCAUGCCGCGUGUGUGAAGAAGGCCUUCGGGUUGUAAAGCACUUUCAGUAGGGAGGAAAGGUAGCAGCUUAAUACGCUGUUGCUGUGACGUUACCUACAGAAGAAGGACCGGCUAACUCCGUGCCAGCAGCCGCGGUAAUACGGAGGGUCCGAGCGUUAAUCGGAAUUACUGGGCGUAAAGCGUGCGCAGGCGGUUUGUUAAGCGAGAUGUGAAAGCCCCGGGCUCAACCUGGGAAUUGCAUUUCGAACUGGCGAACUAGAGUCUUGUAGAGGGGGGUAGAAUUCCAGGUGUAGCGGUGAAAUGCGUAGAGAUCUGGAGGAAUACCGGUGGCGAAGGCGGCCCCCUGGACAAAGACUGACGCUCAGGCACGAAAGCGUGGGGAGCACACAGG